CUGCCCUGUGGCAUAUGGGAGUUCCUGGGCCAAGGAUCAGAUCCGAGCCACAGUUACCCCCUAAGCCACAAGUGCAGCAACGCCAGAUCUUUAAUCCACCGUGCUGGGCACUGAACCUGUGCCCCAGCACUCCCAAGAUGUCGCUGAUCCCACUGCACCAACAGUGGGAAAUUCUCUUAAUUUUUAUUUAUUUAUUUUUGGCUUUAGCCCUGGCAUGCAGAAGUUCCCAGCCCAGGGCUCAAACCUGCACCACAGGAGAGUGACAACAUCAGAUCCUUAACUGCUAGGCCACCAGGGAACUCCUGUCUUUUUACUUCCAUGGCAUUGUCCUUUAAAGCAGCAAAGUUCUUAAUCUCAAGGAAGUCCAAUUUAUCUAUUUUUUUCCUUGAUUGUUUAACCUUCAGUAUCAUAUCUGAAAGAGACUACUGCCUAAUUCAAAGUCAUGAAGACCUGCAACUAUGUUUUCUUUUUUGUGUCUUUUUAGGGCCACACCUGCAGCAUAUCAAAGUUCCCAGGUUAGAAGGUUGAAUAGGAGCUGCAGCUGCCAGCCUAUGCUACAGCCAGAUCUGAGUCACAUGUGUAACCUACACUAGAGCUCACGGCAACACUGGAUCCUUAACCCACUGAACGACGCUGGGGAGCAAACCCACGUGCUCAUGGAUACUAGGCAGAUUUACCAUUGAGCCACAACAAGAACUCCCCAGCUAUGUUUUCUAAGAAUUUUUAGUUUUAGCUCUUAAGUUUGGGUCUUUGAUCCACUGCAUAUUAAUUUUUCUACAUAGUAUCAAGAAUGGGUUCAAUUUCAUUGUUUUGUGUAUGGAUAUCCUGUUGUCCCAGUACCACUUGUUAAGAAAAAAUUUGUUCCCCAUUGAAAGAUUUUUCUUAAACUAAUAAGCAUGUACUACUUCUAUAAUUAAAAAUACUAUGCUUUAAUACACAAACAUUCUAUAUAUUUAUUAAAAUCAUCGUAGUAUAAAAAGAUUAAACAAAAUUAAAUAACAUGCCUAGGAUUAAGUUACCAGCAAGAGAAACCAGUACCAAACCAGUACCUCUCCAUGUG
RNAcentral lists this long non-coding RNA (1060 nucleotides) under Sus scrofa (pig). RNAcentral describes it as "lncRNA (ENSSSCG00005024515.1)". Lineage: Eukaryota; Metazoa; Chordata; Mammalia; Artiodactyla; Suidae. The record is from RNAcentral.